UACGGAGGGGGCAAGCGUUGUUCGGAGUCACUGGGCGUAAAGGGCGCGUAGGCGGUGCGUAAAGUCAGGCGUGAAAGCCCCGGGCUUAACCUGGGAAUUGCGCUUGAUACUGACGUGCUAGAGAACGGGAGAGGAUGGCGGAAUUCCCAGUGUAGAGGUGAAAUUCGUAGAUAUUGGGAAGAACACCAGCGGCGAAGGCGGCAUCCUGGACUGGUCCUGACACUCAGGAGCGAAAGCGUGGGGAGCGAUCCGG
Molecule: ribosomal RNA, 253 nt
Filed under: uncultured bacterium
Lineage: Bacteria
Description: partial 16S ribosomal RNA
Rfam family: Bacterial small subunit ribosomal RNA
Source: RNAcentral